This 845-nucleotide long non-coding RNA is filed under the name Gossypium barbadense (sea-island cotton). Its description in RNAcentral is "long non-coding RNA (GBAR_LNC012853)". Lineage: Eukaryota; Viridiplantae; Streptophyta; Magnoliopsida; Malvales; Malvaceae. The record is from RNAcentral.
ACUUUAGUAGGCACACGAACCCUAUCGUCAAUUUCCUUUAAGUUUUGCUUAAUCAACAAACCCAGCUCUUUCAAAUCCAUCGAAUUCAAACUCUGCAAUAUCUCUUUUCCAUUCAGGCUUUGGAACAUGGCAGUUUUCAACUCCUUCUGUCAAUUUUCCUUACGCAGUUUCCUAAGAUGUUGAGUAGCUUUGGCUAAAGCUUUGCUCAAAGAAACUCUCUUGGUUAACCAUCAAUUGUUUUGUUUCGACAGGGGCAGCUUCUUGGACUUGGACAGCAAGCGUCGGGCACUCACGUGGGACGACCAUACCUCAGGUUGGGAGUUGAAAUCAGGAGAGUACAUAAUAGUACAAGCUUCAAUCCCAUAAAGGGUAGUGAGUUCAUGCACCUUCUUCACUAGACCCUUGGUUCUUUUCUUGUAAGUAGUUUUCCUUACUAAAUCAUUGGUAAUGUAGGCAAGCUUUAUUUUCUUUCUAGACAUGGAUAAUUGAAGAUUUAUUUUCUAUGCAUUUGAUUACAUGUUACCCUCACAGUGUGUGUGCUUAUGUAUGGAUAUUAGAGGCUUGUAGAGAAGAAGGGAUGCCCCACUUAUCCUUACUGGACACAUAUUAAUGUUGGCCUAAAAAGGAAAUGAGAAGAUAGGUGUUCAAAUUCCAGUUAUGAUACCAAAUUCAUUACCAUAAUAGCUGCAAUUUUAAUGUCGACAUUAAAUGCAUAAGUAUGUUUAAAGUUCAUAUAUCUGGCUUUCAGUUAUAUAUUUCAUAUUUCAGUGAUAUAUACCAUUUGUGUCACAAAGGUCGAAAUAAACUUCUCGUAGGCAUUUUACCGGGUUUUUGGGGCUCCAGAG